Long non-coding RNA from Magallana angulata, 7361 nucleotides. RefSeq lists it as uncharacterized. Lineage: Eukaryota; Metazoa; Mollusca; Bivalvia; Ostreida; Ostreidae. The transcript has 8 exons. The record is from RefSeq and is a predicted model, not a curated record.
CGCAAGACAUGAUGAUUGAACUUUGAGCGAGAUAAUGUUUUAUAUUGUUACACUGCACGGAGUGGAGAGGAGCAGAAUCUGAUGCGCGUCAAAAACAAUAAUCUGAGGCACGAGACUUUUUAACCAAAUCGAAACUAAAAUGGCGAAGAAAGAUGAUGAUAAAUCAGGCAUUCGAAGAUUCUUCACCAUUGUCACGUCCCCUAUCUGGGUGCCAGUGGCGGCCGCAGGGUCCCUGGCGGCGGCACCUUUCCAGGCUGUGGGGGACUCCAUCGAUGUAGCCGAUAAAACAAAAUCCGCAGGAGCAGGAUUAUCUAGUUACCCUGGGAACGCCAUCGUCAGAGUCGUGUCGAAUCCAUUCAAGGCUGUCGCCGAAGUUGGAGAAGCAAUGUGGGGAAAAGACUAAUGAUUAUCGAGAGACAGAUGCCAAGCUUCAUGUCUUGUUUCUUUUUUAAAUACAGAACACACAUUUGAAUAUGUUAUAUUCGAGUAAAUGAAGAAAUGAUCAUGAUUUGUUAUAUUUGAAAUUUGGAAGUUCAUUUGUAUUCUUGUACCUUUAAACAGUGAAUGUAUGAUCUGUAUUCAUUCCAUAUUCACAAAAUUCACGGAUUGCAAAAAGAGAAAAGAAAAAAAGAAGAUAUUAAUUUAAAAACAAUUGGUAAUGAUUCGUAAUUUAGUUUUUUCGUCAAUUGCAUUCUUGUAUUUGUAAAGAGUAUUUUAGAUUUCUUAGUAUUCACACGAUCUUUAACAAUUGUUUCAUAUAUUUUUUUAAUUAAGAUAAUUAAAUUAUUAAAAACAAAGGAAUUUUACUUGUAUUUUCUUUACUUGUGUAUGUUGUUCGGGAUAAGUAGUAAUACAAUAAUUAAUUAAUAAGGGUUUUGCGACUUUCGCCCUCUCUUAUGUUCGCCAAUCUUCACCUUCAAACGGUUUCCCACGGUGUUAAAUUCGCCCUAAAGAUUUUGUUUAAAGAGAAAUAAUAUAAGAUAAUAUUAUAAUAUAUAAUGUAAGUACAAGGAAUGAAUUUUUAUUCAUAAAACAAUGUCUUGAACGUAUGGGUCUGUUUUGGAAUCGGCAAAUUUUAGCAAUAAAAUGACAUUUACAAAGUAGUAAUGUGUUCUUUCUUUUCAUAGUGUCUUAGAAUUUCCAGGGAAGUGGAUCGGUAAAAUUUAAAAGAGAGUUUCAAUAAUUUUCUGAUUUUUGGUCUUGUUCAUAAACACUCGUUGCAGACAUCUCGCCAUAAUUUGUUACAUGUAUUUUCUUUUCCGGAUGAAUGAGACUACAGUUGUAUUGAAAAGGAGACUACAGUUCUAUACGAAGGGUUUUUUUUCGUGGUGACCUUUAUAUUUGGAGCACUUCAAUUUUGUAUUUUUUCUUCGUAUUCAUAUGUCUCUUAAUCAUCCAUUAUCGAAGAGAAUAUACAAGGUAUGGCAGUGACACUAGAGGUUUUGCUCCAAGUAACCUUAAACGUAAACUAUGACCCUUAGAUUACAAAUACUUGAACGUUUGAGUAUGACCUUUAGAUUGCAGUUAUAAGGUGUGAUCUCUUAAGGGAAGGCGGCAAUCUCUUAAACCAUCUUUUCUGAUAUAACGCUCACUGGCUAUAUACAUGUGAUUGACCUUUGUUCUCAGAUCAUACCGACAGUGUAUAGCUACAUGUAUGUCUUGUUGAAAAUUAAGUUAUUUUAAAUAUUAGUUACCGAUAAACAAAUGGUCUUUUGAAAACAGAUGUAAAAUUUUGACGAGGUAAGAUUUAAAGAGUGUAGGUGUUAAAAUAUUGGUGUGUAUAUGACCCCUUCCCCUUUUCCUUCAACCAAUAAUUUGCAAAAAAAUCGAUAUUUGUCAGUAGACAGAAAUUGGUAACUUAAGGGGAAUGUGCAGCCAUUUUGUACAUUUGAGGAUGAACAUGUAAACAUUACUUGAAUUUGCUUGUUUCUGUAAAAUAAAACUACCAAAUUUGUUGUUAAAAGAUGAAAACACAAUAGUUAUGUGAUACUAGAUAUUGUUUUGUAUGCAAAUAAUGCAUGCAAGAAAAGAAAAGUGCCCUUUUAAAUCCCUUAGAAAGGCGCAGUUACAGACUUAAAUUCAAUAUUUUGAAAUCUGAAAAAAAUUCUGUCCACUCUACAACCAUUUAUUGAGAAAAAGGUCAAAGCUUGCUUGUUUAAUCUAAACUUUGUCUCAAAAUAAUGUACCAUAUUCUUAAAAGUCUGAAAAACUAUCAAUUCUUACGGGUUAUAUUUGUGUAUAUGGAAGUACAUUGAAGUUAUAUAUCUUCAUUAAAAAAAAAUAUGUUAAGAUUUUACAUUUAAAACAAUUUAAUUUUUUUUUAAUCCACUUCUGAAAUGAACUUACGAUAGUGUAUUCUUUAAGAUAUGAAAAAAAUCAACCUGCGACCGGUUUAGAUUGUUUUGAAUUCACUUUUUAACUUUUUUUCCACAUAGAAAUAUAAAGUCAAUGUGCCUCUAUACACACGAGUUUUUUUUUUCUUGUUUUCAAAAAAAAAUCACAGGCUCACUGAUAAAAAUAGGUUGCCCUAGUUUGAGGCAAAGUUACAACAUCAAUGUGCAAGAUUCAACCAUUUUCUCAACAAAUGGUUGUAGAUAUGAGACCAAUGAAGUCCUUUUGUAUUGUUUCAGAUAUUUAAAUUGUCAAAAUAAGUUUGCAGCUGCGCGGUUCUACAGCUGCUUUAAGUGAUUUAAGGAGCAUUGUUCCGUUCUUGUGUGCGUAAUUUGCACACAAAUCAAUAUGUAAAAAAUAAUAUUUGUUGCUUUUCUUUAUCUUUUGGCAAAAGUGUUGGUCGGUUUUGGGCAGAGACAAGUCCUCACAUUUUUAUUCGUAAAUGUACAAGAUGGUUGCACACCCAUUAAGAUUCUAAUAAAAUACAUUAUGAUUAUACAAAAAAAAGUUUGAUUGCAUGGUAUUUAUUUAAAUCCAGCUUCCAUUUAUGGACACUUUUACAGAAGUUACUAUUUGACUUUAUUAAUACUAGUCAAAAAACGAUGUUUAUCUAACCAGAUUUAUAUUUCCUAGCAAAAGACUUUUGAAGGUUGCUAUUUGAUUCUUCGACAGACUCUUACCCCAUCAAUAUACUUUAUUCCCUCAGAAAAGUAGCCUUGAAGGUCCUACAUUACCCACUCAUUAAGCUAAAUACUGCAUUAAAUCUGAUACCUGAUAUGACAUUAAAUUUACUUUUCUACAAACGGGUCUAAAAACCAAAUGUAACACUGUGCCAAGGUGGCAUUUUUUCCACCCGCUUGAGAUGUAGUUUCGGAAAAACCCAUAUAAACCAAAUGAUAGACCAUUGUCUAGAGAGUAUAUAUCCACCUUUGUUUUUAGUGUGUUUCACCUGACAGGUGAGAUAUUUACCUUUAAAUAAUUAAUAUCCCAUAGGAAUAUAAUAAUUACUAGAGGAGAAACGAUUCUCCUAGAGGAAAUAUUGACAAUUCUAAAGGAUAUUCUAAAAAUCCUAUAGGAAUUAUAUUUCCUACAGGAGAAAGCUAUUUCCUGUAGGAAUUUGAUUCAGACAGGUAGUUUUCCUAUAGUAAAUUAAGAUUUUUCUUUUGGAUUUUAUUAAAUCCUAUCAGAAUUAAAAUUCCUGUUUGAAGUUCUCGUAUUCCGAUAGGAAAUUCAAUUUUUCUAUAAGAAUAUUGUUUUACCUAUUGGAAAAAUUAUUUACCUGUAGGAAUGUAGUUUUGAAAGGUAAAUGUCUCACCUGGCAGGUGAGAUACAAUGAUGACAAAGGUGGUUGUGAACUCAUUAAGCAAUGGUCUAUAUCAUAUGGCAUAUUUGAAUUUUUCGAUAUAUGCAGCUUAGAUGGGUGCAAAAAUGCAACCUUGGCUCUGGCAUAAUUAUCCGGCACAGUGUUCUGUGUUCUACAUGUAGCUGCAAGUAAAUAAACUUGCUCACACUUAAAUAAUUUCGAUUUAUAUAAAAAGUUCUUAACUGUUAUGCAAAAAGUUCUUAACUGUACAUACCAAUAUUAUUGUAAGUAUACGAAGAAAAAAACCUUUAUAAUUUGGACCAGCAUAAAAAAUCUAUCCUUUUACAUGUAUCCAAUGCAAUAGUUUCAAGAGUUAUUGAACUUUGACAAACUGCCAAUAGCAGAUGUUCUUUGAACAUACACAUGCAUAACUUGUUGGAUAUUAUUUGAACAUUUUUUUUUACUGUUGACAGAAUUUUGUUAUGGCGAUUUGAGGUCACAAGGUUGAAAUUUAUAUAAAGGCGGAAGUCUGACCUUCGGUAGAGAUAAAAGGGUUUUUAGAACUGUUGUUUGCAGAAAAUAGAGCGAAAAACAAGAACAAGAAGAAUUGACCAAAACGAAACAAGAAUGGCUGAAAACGAUGAAAACAAAACUAUUCGGAAAGUGUUUACGGUUGUGACGUCUCCUCUCUGGGUCCCAGUUGCGGCGGUAGGAUCACUGGUAGCUGCACCAAUCCAAGCUGUGAAAGACUCCAAGGAGGUGGCCGAGAAAACGGAUUCUGCGGGAGCUGGAGUGUCUAGCUACCCAGGGAACGCCGUGGUCCGACUCGUGACAAAUCCCUUUAAGGGCGUGGUCAAAGUUGGAGAAGCAUUGUGGGGCAAGGACGAUAAAUAAGUAGAGAAAACCCAGCAUCCUGCUUGAUACUUAUACAGAACAAACAUCUGAUGGUACUCAUAUUGACUUUAUUAUGAUUAUAAAUGAUCAUUUUUCACUUAUUGUUUAAACAUAUCUAAACAUCGUUUCAGUGCUUUGUUUGAAUAAAUUUGAGAUAAAUAUGUGUUUUCAUUUUAAUUUUAUGUACGUUGUGUAACAAAACGUAAGUUAUAUUAACAUCCAUUACACUUUCAAGAAGUAUUACGUACCGUGGUUUCUUAAAUAUUCUUGGGCAUUAAUUAUUUUGGAUGUUAAGGAAACCACACUUUCACUGAUGCAUAAAUUCGUGGACAAUGAUCCUAUCAAUACAUAUAGGAUCUCUCAUGAUUUGCGAUGGUAUAUGAAUUUUAUCCAACCAGUUGUUUGCUGAUUAUCCCUGAAACUUGGUUCUAUUUUUUUAUUCAAGAUCUGUCAACUAAACAAAAUGGAAACCGUAGGUACAUGAGCAAACUUUGGUGGUAAGAUUUUUUUGUUUGGUCUCAUGGAUCUAUAGUGUCAAUGAUUCCAGUAACCUUCGUCAAAGUACAAAGGCAGCUAACAAUCUUGUCAACCCAACUCCUAAAAACUAACCACGGCAGAAUGUUGCAUGUAACUUAAAACCUUUGACAUAAAGGUAUGAUAAAUUAUUCCAAUCGUGAUUUAUCAAUUAUCUGUGGGUUCUACAAUAUUGGUUACUUUUCGUAUUUAGUGGAUUUCAUUGUUGAGUUGUUCCCUGAAGUUUAAUCUUUAUUGAGGUUCAUCAUGUAAUAACACAUUUUAUCACAUUAUUUAAAUUUAAAUAAGAAGUCUCGUGGUGAAAGAACAUAUAGUGUAAUAUCAAUCGUGUAUCCCAUGAGUGAUAUCAACUGUAUACUGAGAUAAAAUGAUGAAAUGUGUUCCAUUUAAUUUUAGGUUGACAGAUUUUGAUUUUUUGAACCCCUCUCGUAUUUAUUACCUGGUUAGCUAUACAGAAACUGACAGUGGCUGAAAUUUACACGAUUCAGCUCUAACCAGUUUAUCCAUCGAAAGCGAAAAAAAAAUGACGGACUGCACAACAAAAUUAUGAUGAUGCCAGACUAAAUUUCACAUAAAGACGACUUGCCUAUUGCUUUUAUCUUAAUGAAUGAUGUACAUUAACAGAAAAUUAGUAACUACUUGUGUAAUACUAUUUACGAUAAAUUUGUUUACAGAAAACUGUAAAUAUAAACAACAAAAUGCUUUCCUUGUCUCUACCUUCAUAUCCCGGCCGGAUGAAUCACCAAAGAAAGCAUUGUACUGUUUAGGUUUGUCACGAUACAGAUAAAACUUUGCUGUUUACCUAAAAAUAUAAAUGCAGACAUAGUAUAAUUAAUUUCACUGAUAUGGAUAUUGAUACGUUUCAGGUAAAAAAGAUUGCCGCGUUUCAUGUUUUCUAGUAUUGAAUUGAAUUUGAUAGAGUACGGCCAAACCAGAUUAAAUACAUUAAGGUACUCUGGUUCUUUUUUUUAGUUAUUCGAACCAAAAUAUCAGUGUAUUGAAACUAUAUACUAGAAGGUAUACACGCUGUAACAAUGUUAAGCCGAUAAGGGUUGAAAUAUCUGCAAUAUUUCCCGAUUGAUCCGCGCAUGUGUUUUACACUACCGGAAGACUAAGCUUAGCAGAGAUAAAGAAUUUUUGGUUUUUUAUGUUUUAUUGAAGAACGUAGAAAAAGAAAGGGCACUUAUUCAAAACGAAACUAGAAUGGCGGAAAAUGAAGAGAACAAAACUAUUCGAAAAGUUUUCACAGUUGUGACGUCACCUCUCUGGGUCCCUGUUGCGGCGGUAGGAUCACUGGUAGCUGCGCCAAUCCAAGCUGUGAAAGACUCCAAGGAAGUGGCCGAGAAAACGGAUUCUGAUGCAAUGGGAGUAUCCAGCUACCCAGGAAACGCCGUGGUCCGAAUUGUGACGAAUCCGUUCAAGGGUGUGGUCAGAGUUGGAGAGGCAUUGUGGGGCAAGGACGAUAAAUGAAUUGAUGUGUUCCAGAGGGGCUCCAGUUACAUCACAGAUCAACUAAAUGAAAAUUAUGUGUUCACUUACAGUGUUUUGAAGUAGAUUAGUCUUCUGUGAUGUCAUAUAUUUUGUAAAACUUUGAAAUCUUUGAAAUUUUGCAGGAUAGUUUUAUAUAUCUUAAGUUAUUGAAACCACACGUAGGUAAUUAGAAUUAUUUGUAUAUAAUAAGAUACCUUGGCAUCUUAUUUUUUUUUCUUCUAAAUUUCCAAUUUUGAUACAUUUUUUUCUAAUAUGCUAUUAUUCUAAUAUGCUAUUAUUCUAAUAUUCUAUCAUAUAUAACUCUUUUUUCUGACUUUUCUAUCCGUUGUAUGUUUAAAAAUGAUAUAAUUUUUAAAAUCCUAAUACCCUUUUCGUAGUUUUAGUUUUCUAGCACAGUUGACAGUAAAAUUAAACUUGAUAUACAAAUUUCUGAUUUUAACAAAAAAAAUAUGAUUUCCGAUUCAAGAAUGUGUUCCACAGUUCCAGUUUUUUUGCUAAUCUGACAUCUUUAAAUGAUGUAUAUUUUAAAAAGAGAUUAAAUAUCAUUUAAUGAAGUUGAAAUCAGUUCUGUAUUUCAGCUUUCGUCGAAGAUUUAUGACUGUUAUGGUUUUUUUGUUCUUUAGUUAUCGUUAUACAGUUAUUAAUUUAGUCUUCUUUUUGUUUGACGAGACGGAAUAUAGCCAAUUUUGUAAAAAAUUAUUGAAUGUUUUUACUUUUCUUUCUUUUUCAAUAAAUUUUGAAAUCUGUU